RNAcentral lists this transfer RNA (73 nucleotides) under Rhodogorgon sp. RNAcentral's name for it is "tRNA-Asn". It matches the Rfam family "tRNA". Rfam says of the family: Transfer RNA (tRNA) molecules are approximately 80 nucleotides in length. The record is from RNAcentral. Lineage: Eukaryota; Rhodophyta; Florideophyceae; Rhodogorgonales; Rhodogorgonaceae.
UUUCUGAUAGCUUAAUGGGAAAGCAUAUGGCUGUUAACCAUUUGAUUAUGGGUUCGAAUCCCGUUCAGAAAGC